RNAcentral lists this ribosomal RNA (1361 nucleotides) under Vibrio cholerae. Its description in RNAcentral is "partial 23S ribosomal RNA". It matches the Rfam family "Bacterial large subunit ribosomal RNA", at positions 1466 to 2807 of the family's 2925-position model. Lineage: Bacteria; Pseudomonadati; Pseudomonadota; Gammaproteobacteria; Vibrionales; Vibrionaceae. The record is from RNAcentral.
GGGGGGACGGAGAAGGCUAGGUGGGCCAGGCGACGGUUGUCCUGGUUCAAGUGCGUAGGCUUGAGAGUUAGGUAAAUCCGGCUCUCUCUAAGGCUGAGACACGACGUCGAGCUGCUACGGCAGUGAAGUCAUUGAUGCCAUGCUUCCAGGAAAAGCCUCUAAGCUUCAGAUAGUCAGGAAUCGUACCCCAAACCGACACAGGUGGUCGGGUAGAGAAUACCAAGGCGCUUGAGAGAACUCGGGUGAAGGAACUAGGCAAAAUGGUACCGUAACUUCGGGAGAAGGUACGCUCUUGAUGGUGAAGUCCCUCGCGGAUGGAGCUGACGAGAGUCGCAGAUACCAGGUGGCUGCAACUGUUUAUUAAAAACACAGCACUGUGCAAAAUCGCAAGAUGACGUAUACGGUGUGACGCCUGCCCGGUGCCGGAAGGUUAAUUGAUGGGGUUAGCGCAAGCGAAGCUCUUGAUCGAAGCCCCGGUAAACGGCGGCCGUAACUAUAACGGUCCUAAGGUAGCGAAAUUCCUUGUCGGGUAAGUUCCGACCUGCACGAAUGGCGUAAUGAUGGCCACGCUGUCUCCACCCGAGACUCAGUGAAAUUGAAAUCGCUGUGAAGAUGCAGUGUACCCGCGGCUAGACGGAAAGACCCCGUGAACCUUUACUACAGCUUGGCACUGAACAUUGAACCUACAUGUGUAGGAUAGGUGGGAGGCUAUGAAGACGUGACGCCAGUUGCGUUGGAGCCGUCCUUGAAAUACCACCCUUGUAUGUUUGAUGUUCUAACUUAGACCCAUUAUCUGGGUUGAGGACAGUGCCUGGUGGGUAGUUUGACUGGGGCGGUCUCCUCCCAAAGAGUAACGGAGGAGCACGAAGGUGGGCUAAUCACGGUUGGACAUCGUGAGGUUAGUGCAAUGGCAUAAGCCCGCUUAACUGCGAGAAUGACGGUUCGAGCAGGUGCGAAAGCAGGUCAUAGUGAUCCGGUGGUUCUGUAUGGAAGGGCCAUCGCUCAACGGAUAAAAGGUACUCCGGGGAUAACAGGCUGAUACCGCCCAAGAGUUCAUAUCGACGGCGGUGUUUGGCACCUCGAUGUCGGCUCAUCACAUCCUGGGGCUGAAGUCGGUCCCAAGGGUAUGGCUGUUCGCCAUUUAAAGUGGUACGCGAGCUGGGUUUAGAACGUCGUGAGACAGUUCGGUCCCUAUCUGCCGUGGGCGUUGGAAGAUUGAAGGGGGCUGCUCCUAGUACGAGAGGACCGGAGUGGACGAACCUCUGGUGUUCGGGUUGUGUCGCCAGACGCAUUGCCCGGUAGCUAAGUUCGGAAUUGAUAAGCGCUGAAAGCAUCUAAGCGCGAAGCGAGCCCUGAGAUGA